AUCAGAAACAAAGUUGAUGCUUCGCUUGUUCUUGGGUGAUCAUUGUUAUAUUAAAUAUUCGAAAUAUGCAAUGUAUUUGGUUACAAUGAUUCGCAACUCUGCAUAUACAAACAGUUUUAAUACCACAGU
This is a long non-coding RNA of Rhagoletis zephyria (snowberry fruit fly), 129 nucleotides long. RefSeq lists it as uncharacterized. NCBI's taxonomy places the organism in Eukaryota, Metazoa, Arthropoda, Insecta, Diptera, Tephritidae. The record is from RefSeq and is a predicted model, not a curated record.